CCUACGGGUGGCAGCAGUGGGGAAUAUUGGGCAAUGGGCGCAAGCCUGACCCAGCAACGCCGCGUGAAGGAAGAAGGCUUUCGGGUUGUAAACCUCUUUUCUCAGGGACGUAGCAAGUGACGGGACCUGAGGAAUAAGCCACGGCUAACUACGGGCCAGCAGCCGCGGCAAUACGUAGGGGGCAAGCGUUAUCAGGAUUUACUGGGUGUAAAGGGAGUGUAGGCGGGAAAGCAAGUCAAGGGUGAAAUCCCCGCGCUCAACGUGGGAACUGCCUUUGAUACUGGCAAACUGGAGUGUGUGAGAGGAUAGUGGAAUUCGAGGUGUAGGGGUGAAAUGCGUAGAUAUCAGGAGGAACAUCAGUGGCGAAGGCGGCUAUCUGGCACAUAACUGACGCUGAGGAGCGAAAGCGUGGGUAGCAAACAGGAUUAGAUACCCGGGUAGUC
This 443-nucleotide ribosomal RNA is filed under the name uncultured bacterium. RNAcentral's name for it is "partial 16S ribosomal RNA". It matches the Rfam family "Bacterial small subunit ribosomal RNA", at positions 338 to 795 of the family's 1533-position model. The record is from RNAcentral.